AUACAAGCUACAAAGAGCGUACGGUGAAUGCCUUGGCACCAGCAGGCGAUGAAGGACGCGGCCAACUGCGAUAAGGUUCGGGGAGCGGUAGCACGCUUUGAUCCGGACAUUUCCGAAUGGGGUAACCCUAUACGAUUAAUCUCGUAUAAUCCUCCACUGAAUCCAUAGGUGGUUGAUGCGAUACCCGCUGAAGUGAAACAUCUUAGUAAGCGGAGGAAAAGAAAGUGAAACGAUUCCGUCAGUAGUGGCGAGCGAAAGCGGAUCAGCCCAAACCAGGGGGCUUGCCCCCUGGGGUUGUAGGGCCACGAUGUGGUAGUGCAGCGGUUAGGUUAAAAGAAUGGAAAAUCUUUCCACAGAGGGUGAGAGACCCGUGACCUAAAACCAAAACACACCUAGUGGUACCCUGAGUAAUGCGGUGCACGUGAAACCCCGCAUGAAUCCACGCCGACCACGGCGUAAGGCUAAAUACUAGCUGGUGACCGAUAGCGAACAAGUACCGCGAGGGAAAGGCGAAAAGAACCCCGCAAGGGGAGUGAAAUAGAACCUGCAACCGUACGCUUACAAGGUGUCAAAGCCCGCAAGGGUGAUGGCGUGCCUUUUGCUUAAUGAGUCUGCGAGUUACUGUCUGUGGCAAGUCCAAGCAUCUGUGAUGCGAAGGCGAAGCGAAAGCGAGUCCGAAAUGGGCGCCCCUAGCCGCAGGCAGUAGACCCGAAGCGGAGGUGAUCUACUCAUGGUCAGGAUGAAGGUUACUUAACCGUAACUGAAGGUCCGAACUGGUGAAGGUUGAAAACUUCUCAGAUGAACUGUGAGUAGGAGCGAAAGACUAAUCAAACCCCGUGAUAGCUGGUUCUCUCCGAAAUAGCUUGAGGGCUAGCCUUGUGUACUGAUGGACGGAGGUAAAGCACUGAAUGGACUAUGGUCCCUAACGGGAUACUGAAUCCAAUCAAACUCUGAAUGCCGUCCAAUGCAACACAGGAGUCAGACAGUGGGGGAUAAGCUUCAUUGUCGAGAGGGAAACAACCCAGAUCGCCGGCUAAGGUGCCCAAAUACAGCUCAGUGGAAAGGAUGUCAGGUUUCUUUAACAGUGAGGAUGUUGGCUUAGAGGCAGCCAUCAUUUAAACAGUGCGUAAUAGCUGACUCAUCGAGAAACCCGGCGCCGAAAAUGAUUGGCGAUAAGCUGUAUACCGAAGCCGCGGAUACCAGAAGACCUAGGUCUUCUGGCAUGGUAGGAGAGCGUUCCUGUUACUGCGAAGCGGGAGGGAAACCACCCGUGGAGUGACCGGAAGUGAGGAUGCAGACAUGAGUAGCGAUAAGACAGGUGAAAUCCCUGUCCGCCGUAAACCCAAGGGUUCCUGGGCAAGGUUCGUCCCCCCAGGGUGAGUCGGGAUCUAAGGUGAGGCCGAAGGGCGUAGCCGAUGACCAGCAGGUUCAAUAUUCCUGCACCACCGACAUUUAACCCGGAGUGACACAAGCAUCGACAACGUCGGCCGAUUGAACGUGGCCGUUUCGCAAGAUCCAGGAGGGUGGCAACACGCUCUGAAGCGUUGAACAUGAUUGUCGAGAAAAGCUCCGGUGCAUACUAAGGUGCCCGUACCGUAAACCGACACAGGUGGGUGGGUAGAAUAUACCAAGGCGCGUGAGUUAAACUUCUUGAAGGAACUCGGCAAGUUAGCCCCGUAACUUCGGAAGAAGGGGCGCCGCGCAAGCGGCCUCAGUGAAAGGAGUCAACCGACUGUUUAACAAAAACACAGCUCUCUGCUAAGUCGUUAAGACGACGUAUAGGGAGUGACACGUGACCAAUGCGGAAAGAUUAAGGCAAGGGGUCAGCCGCAAGGCAAAGCUCCAAACUUAAGUCCCCGUGAAUGUCGGCCGUAACUAUAACGGUCCUAAGGUAGCGAAAUUCCUUGUCGGGUAAGUUCCGACCUGCACGAAUCGUGUAACGAGUUGACUGCUGUCUCCAAGGAGUGCUCAGCGAAGUUGUAGUGGCGGUGAAGAUGCCGCCUACCCGCAGCAGGACGGAAAGACCCCGUGCACCUUUACUGUAGGCUGUUACUGUGUUUUCGUUCGGGAUACUUAGCGUAAGUGGGAGACGUCGAAACCUGGAUUUCGGUUCAGGCCGAGUCGCCAAUGAAACACCACCUUUUCUUAAUGGAAACUCUAACUCUAAGCCGUGAAACCGGAUAGAGAACAAUGGCAGCUGGUCAGUUUGACUGGGGCGGUUUCCUCCCAAAACGUAACGGAGGAGUUCAAAGGUUCCCUCAGCUUGGUUGGUAAUCAAGCGUCGAGCAUAUUGGUAGAAGGGAGCUUAACUGUGAGACACACACGUCGAACAGAUACGAAAGUAGGACAAAAUGAUCCGGUGGUAGAAUGUGGAAUUGCCAUCGCUCAACGGACAAAAGGUACGCCGGGGAUAACAGGCUUAUGAGACCCAAGAGUUCAUAUCGACGGUCUCGUUUGGCACCUCGAUGUCGGCUCAUCGCAUCCUGGGGCUGGAGAAGGUCCCAAGGGUCCGGCUGUUCGCCGGUUAAAGCGGUACGCGAGCUGGGUUCAGAACGUCGUGAGACAGUUCGGUCCUUAUCCGCUGUGGGCGCAGGAAAUUUGAGGGGUUCACACCUUAGUACGAGAGGACCGGGUGUGACGAACCGCUGGUGUUCCGGUUGUGUCGUCAGACGCAGCGCCGGGUAGCUAUGUUCGGAAAGGAUAAGCGCUGAAAGCAUCUAAGCGCCAAGCCUAUCCCAAGAUGAGAUUUCCCCAUCAAGACCGUGGAAGACCACCACGUUGAUAGGUCGCAUGUGUACGCAUGGCAACAUGUUCAGCAAAGCGAUACUAAUUAUCUGAUCGGCUUGAAUCACUCAGUUU
RNAcentral lists this ribosomal RNA (2859 nucleotides) under Verrucomicrobia bacterium LW23. RNAcentral describes it as "bacterial LSU rRNA". It matches the Rfam family "Bacterial large subunit ribosomal RNA". The record is from RNAcentral. Lineage: Bacteria; Pseudomonadati; Verrucomicrobiota.